This 274-nucleotide ribosomal RNA is filed under the name uncultured bacterium. RNAcentral describes it as "partial 16S ribosomal RNA". It matches the Rfam family "Bacterial small subunit ribosomal RNA", at positions 523 to 796 of the family's 1533-position model. The record is from RNAcentral.
AUACAGAGGGUGCAAGCGUUAAUCGGAAUUACUGGGCGUAAAGCGCGCGUAGGCGGUUUGAUAAGUCGGAUGUGAAAUCCCUGGGCUCAACCUGGGAACUGCAUUCGAAACUGUCUGACUAGAGUAUGGUAGAGGGUGGUGGAAUUCCUAGUGUAGCGGUGAAAUGCGUAGAUAUUAGGAGGAACAUCAGUGGCGAAGGCGACCACCUGGACCAAUACUGACGCUGAGGUGCGAAAGCGUGGGGAGCAGACAGGAUUAGAAACCCUAGUAGUCC